RNAcentral lists this ribosomal RNA (197 nucleotides) under uncultured Veillonellaceae bacterium. Its description in RNAcentral is "partial 16S ribosomal RNA". It matches the Rfam family "Bacterial small subunit ribosomal RNA", at positions 153 to 334 of the family's 1533-position model. The record is from RNAcentral. Lineage: Bacteria; Bacillati; Bacillota; Negativicutes; Veillonellales; Veillonellaceae.
GAAAGGAAUGCUAAUACCGAAUGAAGCGCAGGAGAGGCAUCUCUCCUGCGUGAAAGAUGGCCUCUAUAUAUAAGCUAUCACCUGUCGAUGGGCCUGCGUCUGAUUAGCUGGUAGGUGAGGUAACGGCUCACCUAGGCGACGAUCAGUAGCCGGUCUGAGAGGAUGAACGGCCACAUUGGGACUGAGACACGGCCCAG